AAACUUGCUGUCAUAAGAUGGGAAAAAUGAGUACCAGUAGCGGUAUAUUUGAAAGUCGAUAGUUAACUAAUGGAAUGUGAUAGCACCAAUUACAUGGUGCUGGAUAAGAUAUUUUAGGGUAUUGACAACAUUACGAAAAUUAGAGAAUAGAACCAACGCUCUGCGUAAAAAGUGGUGACGUAUCAUGAACGACGUCACACAAAAGGACCCUUGUGGUCAAACAAGGAACGACCGCACAAAGACCUGGUCACGCCCGGAGCGAGGUGACAUGAGGCGAGCCGAGGGGAACACGAGCAGGAGGUUCUAACUAUCCUACCUUCGAGAUGUCACCUGCCUCGCUUCUUGCCUCAGGUGCCAUUUUCAUCGCUAUGAGGGUGACGUCACCCCAUGACACGUUUUCCAAAUUAAACCCGCUAUAAGAGCGGGUUCAAAGGCGGAUUUCAAAAGCGGAUUUCAAAGGCUGAGUUUGAAGUUUAAGGCCGGAACUCCAGACCGGAUGUUCAGGUCAUGAUCGCUUAAGACUAACACUUCACGAUCGAUUCUCAACGAAAAAGAAAGAAGAAUGAAGACAAAUCUUCAGAGAGGGUCAGAGUGAUUGCUAUGAAAGAUAUGUAUAAGAAGAGUUAUUAUGUGAUUUAAUAUACAGUAUAAGGCAUGGUUAGCCUAGUUUCAUUAUAAUUCCUCUCCACAGUAAUUAAAACUGCAGGUGUAAACGGAUAACCUUUAACGUCACGUUACCAAGUUAUUUUUAUGUUAAAAGAGGUUAUCCUGAUAAAAAUUACCCAAUUAAUUAAUGCCCAUACUUUUAACCCUAGAUAUUUUGGGAUAUAAAAGAGAAAUACCCAUUCCCGGGAAAUAGGGCACUACAAUACUUUAGUUUACAUCUUGAAAAGGCAAAACACGAAGCUAUUACCAUUUAAAAAAUACGGUUUCGUCAAAGAUUAUUAUUAUGAUUUCAUACACAUAUUCCUCCUCCGACGAGAGUUUAUAACCUAUAUAGUUUUCGAUGAAACUAUUGCAAUGCAUUAGUAAGUGAAAAUAAAACUGCCUUCCAAAAUAAAAAAAUACCUCAUAAUGGAGUCACCGGUUCGGGUGUUCGCAGAAAUAGUCCAAAUCUGGUUCUUUUGUUUAUCACUCACCUCUCGCCUUAACUUGUAAACAUGUUUAAAAUCCCUGAAAGAGGAAUAUUCCAAAACAAAUAGCUCUCGUAUGUUAUGGGAUUCUGAGUGAUAUUACAGACUCGACACUGAACCAUGUUUGACCUUUGAGUGAAUUUCGUUUUUAACACUGGAUAAUUUCACACAUGCAGACACAUAAACAAGGACAAUAUUCACACAUGCAGACACAUAAACAAGGACAGUAUUCACACAUGCAGAGUUUGCAGACACAUAAACAAGGACAAUAUUCACACAUGCAGACACAUAAACAAGGACAAUAUUCACACAUGCAGACACAUAAACAAGGACAAUAUUCACAUAUGCAGACACAUAAACAAGGACAAU
Molecule: long non-coding RNA, 1502 nt
Filed under: Penaeus japonicus
Lineage: Eukaryota; Metazoa; Arthropoda; Malacostraca; Decapoda; Penaeidae
Description: uncharacterized LOC122265224
Source: RNAcentral